AAAUGAAUUGACGGGGACCCGCACAAGCAGCGGAGCAUGUGGUUUAAUUCGAAGCAACGCGAAGAACCUUACCAAGGCUUGACAUCCUUCUGACAGACUCUUAAUCGAGUCCUCCUUCGGGCAGAAGUGACAGGUGGUGCAUGGUUGUCGUCAGCUCGUGUCGUGAGAUGUUGGGUUAAGUCCCGCAACGAGCGCAACCCUUGUCUUUAGUUGCCAUCAUUAAGUUGGGCACUCUAGAGAGACUGCCGGGGAUAACUCGGAGGAAGGUGGGGAUGACGUCAAAUCAUCAUGCCCCUUAUGCCUUGGGCUACACACGUGCUACAAUGGCUGGUACAAAGAGACGCAAGACCGUGAGGUGGAGCAAAUCUCAAAAACCAGCCCCAGUUCGGAUUGUAGGCUGCAACUCGCCUACAUGAAGUCGGAGUUGCUAGUAAUCGUAGAUCAGAAUGCUACGGUGAAUGCGUUCCCGGGUCUUGUACACACCGCCCGU
This 490-nucleotide ribosomal RNA is filed under the name uncultured bacterium. RNAcentral describes it as "bacterial SSU rRNA". It matches the Rfam family "Bacterial small subunit ribosomal RNA", at positions 903 to 1397 of the family's 1533-position model. The record is from RNAcentral.